This is a long non-coding RNA of Centropristis striata (black sea bass), 1834 nucleotides long. RefSeq lists it as uncharacterized. Lineage: Eukaryota; Metazoa; Chordata; Actinopteri; Perciformes; Serranidae. The record is from RefSeq and is a predicted model, not a curated record. The transcript has 3 exons.
CACAUGACGGCGGACACGAGAUACGUUAAACAUACGAGUAAAAAACUUAAGUGACACCUUACCUGGAGUUUUUCUGUGCCCGGUUAUUACCGCCUCGCCACUUACUGGAUGCAGCCAGGUUGUACUCUUGGCUUCUUCGCUGUUUGGAGAGAGAGGAGGGAAAUGCGUUCAUUAUUACCACACGGUGACUUUGUUUGAAUCAGAAACGAACUGAAACGACUUGAGCCUUUUUCCUCGGAGGGAUAGUUACUUAAUGAAGAAGACGCGUCCAUCCCGAGUAACCCCAUAACUCCAGGAAGAAGGGAGACAAGAAAUCCACUCGGGUUGUAUAUCCGCCGCCAUGUCUGGCAAUACUGUAUGACAAUCGCGCGGCUCCGCUCUCACAGGCAGCGCGUACACGGAAACCUUGGCAACGGCGGAUGGCUGAGAGGAGGGCAGGAGCCCAGGAGGUGGGGCACACAGGAUCCAGUUACAGGUUUGAUUGAAAACUUCGCCCUCAUCUAUAUGCAAGUUUGCAUAGACUUCUAUUUCCAAGAAGCUGAUGUAUGACAAUGCAAACCACAACAUCUGUUUGGCUUUGCAUUAUUCAGGAUGUCUCAGCAUGAAGUCCUCCCCUGUUUACACACAUAUCCUGUGUCUGAUGGGAAAGCGAAGCAGUGUGACAAACAGGUCAUGAGCGUCUUCUCGAGGGCAGCAAGGGUCAUGUGAGCGACAGUGAGAAGGGCUCUGGUCCAAAAAUAAUUCUUCAAGGCAGAUGGCAAGAAAGCCUCAAGGACAACACUGAUAUUCCCAAAUGAUCCUGGAGUUUGGGACAAUAAACUAAACUUUAUCUGAUUAUCCCUCCCACUCUGUUCAGAAACGACUAAGUUCAAAGAGAGCCAUCUUAUAUAUUAAUCAUAGUUCCUAAUGAACGAAAGGAAAAGAUUCCAUUUGAACAGGGUGUACAGACUUUGAUACAGAUCUUACCCAGCACAGAACAAAAGAAAGCCUUGUACACAGAAUAUUGUGUGAACAUGUUAAAAGCAAUGACAAGAAGUUUUUAACUGGUUAUGAAACAGCCUAAGUUUAAUACUGAUUCCUCUAUAUGACCUACAUAAGCAAAGGAGACCAUCAGCAAGAUUUUAUUUCUAUAUAGUCAUUCUUAACGCCUGAGAACGGAAAGAUAUUCUUAAAAAUAGCAUCUUUCUCUCUCUUGUUUCCAAACAAAUGCACGCCAUGGACAUACCAAGAUGUUUAUGACAUGAGUUGAUGUUUUUCCAACACAUUUUCCCACAGGAGACACUAAAAUCAACACAAAAUGACAGUUUCUUAAAAAGUUAAGAAACAUAAAGUAGCUUUUUUUUUUGUUGCAUGAACAGCAAAAAGAACAACAAGAUUAGCGCUGAACAGAACUCUUCCUUCUCUGACAACUGGUGGCCUUGAUAGAAAAUCAAAAUACACUAUAUAUAUCCUCCAGUUGAGAUGGCAUAACCUCCAAAGUAAUUAAUUAUGUAAAAAGGAAAAGAAGGAAACAUAUGACCUAGUCUCUGACAUCACAGUACACAUAUUUAUGUAUGAACAUCUGCUCUGCUUGGGGCUAUUUUUGGCCUGAAGUUUUUUGUUUUUUUUACAUUUAAGGUCAAACAGAAGUGCAUGAUCAAAGUACCAUUACUGCUUCAGUUAGUUCCUUAUUGGUGUCACAUUAAGAGUUGUUUAGUUGCAGCCCUUUGCCUUUUGGGUGAAUUGCCUCAUUCUUAAGUCCCAAAACUCAGACACUGUAAGUUAUUGUGAAAUCUUGGAUUUCCACAGAAAAUAAGUCACUCUGUUUGUCUGCGUAACUCCUGCGUGUUUAUUC